GACGAAGGAUGCAAGCGUUAUCCGGAUUCAUUGGGUUUAAAGGGAGCGUAGGUGGCCUUAUAAGUCAGUGGUGAAAUCUUUGGGCUUAACCCAAAAAUUGCCAUUGAUACUGUAGGGCUUGAGUAUAGUUGCCGUUGGCGGAAUAUGACAUGUAGUGGUGAAAUACAUAGAGAUGUCAUAGAACACCGAUUGCGAAGGCAGCUAACGAAACUAUAACUGACACUGAGGCUCGAAAGUGCGGGGAUCAAACAGG
RNAcentral lists this ribosomal RNA (253 nucleotides) under uncultured bacterium. RNAcentral describes it as "partial 16S ribosomal RNA". It matches the Rfam family "Bacterial small subunit ribosomal RNA", at positions 524 to 776 of the family's 1533-position model. The record is from RNAcentral.